RNAcentral lists this ribosomal RNA (520 nucleotides) under uncultured bacterium. Its description in RNAcentral is "bacterial SSU rRNA". It matches the Rfam family "Bacterial small subunit ribosomal RNA", at positions 14 to 518 of the family's 1533-position model. The record is from RNAcentral.
CGAUUCUGGCUCAGGAUGAACGCUGGCGGCGUGCCUAACACAUGCAAGUCGAACGGAGAUUUAACGCUGAUGAGGCUUCGGCGGAAUCUUGUUAAAUCUUAGUGGCGGACGGGUGAGUAACGCGUGGGCAACCUGCCUCGUACUGGGGGAUAACAGUUGGGAACGACUGUUAAUACCGCAUAAGCGCACGGUAUCGCAUGAUACAGUGUGAAAAACUCCGGUGGUACGAGAUGGGCCCGCGUCAGAUUAGCCAGUUGGCGGGUAACGGCCCACCAAAGCGACGAUCUGUAGCCGGACUGAGAGGUCGGACGGCCACAUUGGGACUGAGACACGGCCCAAACUCCUACGGGAGGCAGCAGUGGGGGAUAUUGCACAAUGGGCGAAAGCCUGAUGCAGCGAUGCCCGCGUGAGUGAAGAAGUAUUUCGGUAUGUAAAGCUCUAUCAGCAGGGAAGAAAGGCCCUUCGGGGAGAUGACGGUACCUGACUAAGAAGCCCCGGCUAACUACGUGCCAGCCGCGGC